UCCCUCGUGGCGCAAUUGGCUAGCGCGUUCGACUGUUAAUUGAAGCGAUUCAAAUAGAUAAAUCGAGAGGUUGGUGGUUCGAGCCCACCCGAGGGAG
Molecule: transfer RNA, 97 nt
Filed under: Botrytis cinerea B05.10
Lineage: Eukaryota; Fungi; Ascomycota; Leotiomycetes; Helotiales; Sclerotiniaceae
Description: tRNA EFBcG00000013230
Rfam family: tRNA
About the family: Transfer RNA (tRNA) molecules are approximately 80 nucleotides in length. Their secondary structure includes four short double-helical elements and three loops (D, anti-codon, and T loops).
Source: Rfam by way of RNAcentral